GGCGAGCGUGGGGUACGGAUCCCCGCCGUUCCAGCCGCCGAGCGCGAUGACGUUGGUGUUCGUGGCAAGUUCCAGGCUUGCUGCCUGGCU
This 90-nucleotide transfer RNA is filed under the name Arthrobacter sp. NicSoilC5. RNAcentral describes it as "tRNA-Trp". Lineage: Bacteria; Bacillati; Actinomycetota; Actinomycetes; Micrococcales; Micrococcaceae. The record is from RNAcentral.